UUUGGAGUUCAGCCCCACGUCUCUGAGGCGCGGGUGGGGUUUUUUGGACCUCACCUGAGGAGGCCUUUGCGCCCCUUCGGCCCCACCGCGGAGAAGGCAGAACCCGCAAGGUCGGCGGAGAAGGCCAGUAACCUAAAAUGCAGAGUGGAGCCACUGAACUUCAUUGGUAUCUAAAGCCAUACUGCCAAUGGACAAAAAAAUGCAGAGCAGCUCCUGCCCGUUGGCUCAAAAUGCCAGUCACUGGGAGAAGGCAGUUACUUCUGAUGGGUGUUCACAGGCGUUUGGCCCCCUUGAGGAGACCUGUCCUGAGCAGCAGGCCCUGGAAGUCCUACCUGGAGAGAGAUGGGACUGGAUGUGGGUACAUGAUUCACCUAGCAGAGAGAAGGUCACAGUAGUGAUAGGAGAUGAAGAGCGAGAUCUGGAUGGAGAAGAAUGGGUUCCAUCCAGUGCCCAGGAAGGGCAGAGCUUGUCAUGUGAGAUUUUGGCAUCAGCUUUCGAUUCACCAGUUAUUCAACAUUGGCCCGUGGUCAUCCAGCCUGAAAACGUCAUUCCUUUUUCUUGGGUCCUGCAAAAGAGAGGUGGGGAGCUAGCAGUCAUCCUGCUUAUAAGGAAGAAGACUCCUCACAUCUGUUCAGCCAAAUGCUCCAGGCUCCCACACCUGCCCAUCACUGUCAGAGAACUCAUUAAACAGUAGCAACAGUGGCUAGUGUUUACCCAACAUGCUCCAUGGGCCAAGAACCAUCGUGAGCACUUGUCCUUGCAACCACCCUGCGGAGGGCUGGAUGAUGAAGAUGGUGAUGAUGAUGAUGAGUCUUAUCUUCAUAAGUGAGAACUUGGAGAAUAAAGGAAAUUUUUUGCAUGUGGUAGAAUCUGAAG
Molecule: long non-coding RNA, 876 nt
Organism: Lagenorhynchus albirostris (white-beaked dolphin)
Lineage: Eukaryota; Metazoa; Chordata; Mammalia; Artiodactyla; Delphinidae
Exons: 4
Source: RefSeq, a predicted model, not a curated record